UAUAAAAUUAUUUCUGGUUUUUUAUUUAUUGUAUGUUUAAAAUUAUAUAUGAAUUUUAAUGUAAAUAAAUUUUAAUUUUAAAUAAAUUAAAUUAUUUUUAAUUGUAAUAAUUAAUUUUAAUAUUAAAUUUUAAGAAAUUUAAUUUUAGAAAUAUAAAGUUAGUUUUAAUUAAAAUUGUGCCAGCAAUAGCGGUUAAACAAUUAAUAUAAAUAAAUAUUAAAUUUAAAUUUUAAAUAAAUUAAAUUUAUUUUAUAAUUAAUAAUUUAAUUAAUUAGGUAAAAUUGAAUAAUUAAAAUAUAUUAAAAAUAUUAAUAAUAUUUAAACAAAUUUUUAAUAAAACUAGGAUUAGAUACCCUAUUAUUAAAAUUAAUAAUUUAUAUAAUUAAAUUAGUAAAAUUAAAAUUUGAAAAUUAAAGAAUUUGACGGUAUUUAAAUCAAUUUAGAGGAAUUUGUUUAGUAAUUGAUAAUCCACAAUAAAUUUUACUUAUAUUAAAAUUUGUAUAUCGUUGUUAUAAAAAUAUUUAUAAAUAAUUUAUAAUAUUUAAAAAUUUAAAUUUAAAUUAAUAUCAAAUCAAGAUACAGUUUAUUGAUAAGAAUAAAAAUGAAUUACAAUAAAAGGUUUAUUUAUAAUAAUUUAAUUUAAAAUUAAUUUAUUAAAUUGGAUUUAAAUGUAAUUAAUAAAAUUUAUUAUUAAUGAUUAUUGUUUUUAAAUAAGUACAUAUUGCCCGUCACUCUUAUUAGUAUAUUUAUAUAAUUAAGAUAAGUCGUAACAUAGUAGAAGUAUUGGAAAAUGUUUCUAGAAAUAUAUAUAUAU
RNAcentral lists this non-coding RNA (814 nucleotides) under Hydropsyche fryeri. Lineage: Eukaryota; Metazoa; Arthropoda; Insecta; Trichoptera; Hydropsychidae. The record is from RNAcentral.